GAUGAACGCUGGCGGCGUGCCUAAUACAUGCAAGUCGAGCGAACAGACGAGGAGCUUGCUCCUCUGACGUUAGCGGCGGACGGGUGAGUAACACGUGGAUAACCUACCUAUAAGACUGGGAUAACUUCGGGAAACCGGAGCUAAUACCGGAUAAUAUAUUGAACCGCAUGGUUCAAUAGUGAAAGAUGGCUUUGCUGUCACUUAUAGAUGGAUCCGCGCCGCAUUAGCUAGUUGGUAAGGUAACGGCUUACCAAGGCAACGAUGCGUAGCCGACCUGAGAGGGUGAUCGGCCACACUGGAACUGAGACACGGUCCAGACUCCUACGGGAGGCAGCAGUAGGGAAUCUUCCGCAAUGGGCGAAAGCUUGACGGAGCAACGCCGCGUGAGUGAUGAAGGUCUUCGGAUCGUAAAACUCUGUUAUUAGGGAAGAACAAAUGUGUAAGUAACUGUGCACGUCUUGACGGUACCUAAUCAGAAAGCCACGGCUAACUACGUG
This 497-nucleotide ribosomal RNA is filed under the name uncultured bacterium. RNAcentral's name for it is "partial 16S ribosomal RNA". It matches the Rfam family "Bacterial small subunit ribosomal RNA", at positions 28 to 507 of the family's 1533-position model. The record is from RNAcentral.